AGAGUUUGAUCAUGGCUCAGGACGAACGCUGGCGGCGUGCCUAAUACAUGCAAGUAGAACGCUGACUACUUUAGCUUGCUAGAGUAGAAGGAGUUGCGAACGGGUGAGUAACGCGUAGGUAACCUGCCUACUAGCGGGGGAUAACUAUUGGAAACGAUAGCUAAUACCGCAUAACAGUGUUUAACACAUGUUAGAUGCUUGAAAGAUGCAAAUGCAUCACUAGUAGAUGGACCUGCGUUGUAUUAGCUAGUUGGUGGGGUAACGGCCUACCAAGGCGACGAUACAUAGCCGACCUGAGAGGGUGAUCGGCCACACUGGGACUGAGACACGGCCCAGACUCCUACGGGAGGCAGCAGUAGGGAAUCUUCGGCAAUGGGGGCAACCCUGACCGAGCAACGCCGCGUGAGUGAAGAAGGUUUUCGGAUCGUAAAGCUCUGUUGUAAGAGAAGAACGUGUGUGAGAGUGGAAAGUUCACACAGUGACGGUAACUUACCAGAAAGGGACGGCUAACUACGUGCCAGCAGCCGCGGUAAUACGUAGGUCCCGAGCGUUGUCCGGAUUUAUUGGGCGUAAAGCGAGCGCAGGCGGUUUAAUAAGUCUGAAGUUAAAGGCAGUGGCUUAACCAUUGUUCGCUUUGGAAACUGUUAAACUUGAGUGCAGAAGGGGAGAGUGGAAUUCCAUGUGUAGCGGUGAAAUGCGUAGAUAUAUGGAGGAACACCGGUGGCGAAAGCGGCUCUCUGGUCUGUAACUGACGCUGAGGCUCGAAAGCGUGGGGAGCAAACAGGAUUAGAUACCCUGGUAGUCCACGCCGUAAACGAUGAGUGCCAGGUGUUAGGCCCUUUCCGGGGCUUAGUGCCGCAGCUAACGCAUUAAGCACUCCGCCUGGGGAGUA
Molecule: ribosomal RNA, 892 nt
Filed under: uncultured bacterium
Lineage: Bacteria
Description: bacterial SSU rRNA
Rfam family: Bacterial small subunit ribosomal RNA
Source: RNAcentral